UGGGGAAUUUUGGACAAUGGGCGCAAGCCUGAUCCAGCCAUGCCGCGUGAGUGAAGAAGGCCUGGUUGUAAGCUCUUUCGGUCCGGGGAAGGAAAUCGUGGUCUCUAACAUAGGCCAUGGAUGACGGUACCGGA
RNAcentral lists this ribosomal RNA (134 nucleotides) under uncultured bacterium. Its description in RNAcentral is "partial 16S ribosomal RNA". It matches the Rfam family "Bacterial small subunit ribosomal RNA", at positions 355 to 482 of the family's 1533-position model. The record is from RNAcentral.